RNAcentral lists this ribosomal RNA (497 nucleotides) under uncultured bacterium. Its description in RNAcentral is "partial 16S ribosomal RNA". It matches the Rfam family "Bacterial small subunit ribosomal RNA", at positions 28 to 507 of the family's 1533-position model. The record is from RNAcentral.
GAUGAACGCUGGCGGCGUGCCUAAUACAUGCAAGUCGAGCGAACGGACGAGAAGCUUGCUUCUCUGAUGUUAGCGGCGGACGGGUGAGUAACACGUGGAUAACCUACCUAUAAGACUGGGAUAACUUCGGGAAACCGGAGCUAAUACCGGAUGAUAUUUUGAACCGCAUGGUUCAAAAGUGAAAGACGGUCUUGCUGUCCCUUAUAGAUGGAUCCGCGCUGCAUUAGCUAGUUGGUAAGGUAACGGCUUACAAAGGCAACGAUGCAUAGCCGACCUGAGAGGGUGAUCGGCCACACUGGAACUGAGACACGGUCCAGACUCCUACGGGAGGCAGCAGUAGGGAAUCUUCCGCAAUGGGCGAAAGCCUGACGGAGCAACGCCGCGUGAGUGAUGAAGGUCUUCGGAUCGUAAAACUCUGUUAUUAGGGAAGAACAUAUGUGUAAGUAACUGUGCACAUCUUGACGGUACCUAAUCAGAAAGCCACGGCUAACUACGUG